Molecule: ribosomal RNA, 253 nt
Filed under: uncultured bacterium
Lineage: Bacteria
Description: partial 16S ribosomal RNA
Rfam family: Bacterial small subunit ribosomal RNA
Source: RNAcentral
UACAGAGGUCUCAAGCGUUGUUCGGAUUCAUUGGGCGUAAAGGGUGCGUAGGCGGCGCGGUAAGUCGGGUGUGAAAUCUCGGAGCUUAACUUCGAAACUGCAUUCGAUACUGCCGUGCUUGAGGACUGGAGAGGAGACUGGAAUUUACGGUGUAGCGGUGAAAUGCGUAGAGAUCGGAAAGAACACCAACGGCGAAAGCACUCUGCUGGGCCGACACUGACACUGAGAGACGAAAGCUAGGGGAGCGAAUGGG